UACGGGGGGGGGCAAGCGUUGUUCGGAAUUACUGGGCGUAAAGGGCUCGUAGGUGGCCAACUAAGUCAGACGUGAAAUCCCUCGGCUUAACCGGGGAACUGCCUUUGAUACUGGGGAUCUUGAGUCCGGGAGAGGUGAGUGGAACUGCGAGUGUAGAGGUGAAAUUCGUAGAUAUUCGCAAGAACACCAGUGGCGAAGGCGGCUCACUGGCCCGGUACUGACGCUGAGGUGCGAAAGCGUGGGGAGCAAACAGG
Molecule: ribosomal RNA, 254 nt
Filed under: uncultured bacterium
Lineage: Bacteria
Description: partial 16S ribosomal RNA
Rfam family: Bacterial small subunit ribosomal RNA
Source: RNAcentral